This 458-nucleotide ribosomal RNA is filed under the name uncultured bacterium. RNAcentral describes it as "partial 16S ribosomal RNA". It matches the Rfam family "Bacterial small subunit ribosomal RNA", at positions 338 to 795 of the family's 1533-position model. The record is from RNAcentral.
CCUACGGGAGGCAGCAGUGAGGAAUAUUGGUCAAUGGCCGGAAGGCUGACCAUCCAAGCCGCGUGAAGGACGAAGGUUCCCAGCAUUGUAAACUUCUUUUGUCAAGGGACAAAAUCAGGCUCGAGAGCCUGACCGAGGGUACUUUAAGAAAAAGCAUCGGCUAACUCCGUGCCAGCAGCCGCGGUAAUACGGAGGAUGCGAGCGUUAUCCGGAUUUAUUGGGUUAAAAGGGUGCGUAGGCGGACUGUUACGUCAGCGGUAAAAGCCCGGGGCUCAACCCCGGCGAGUCGUUGAAACUGGCUGUAUUGAGAUGUCGAGAGGUAUGCGGAAUGCGCAGUGUAGCGGUGAAAUGCUUAGAUAUUGCGCAGAACUCCGAUUGCGAAGGCAGCAUACCGGCGGCGAUCUGACGCUGAGGCACGAAAGCGUGGGUAUCGAACAGGAUUAGAUACCCCAGUAGUC